Molecule: ribosomal RNA, 207 nt
Filed under: uncultured bacterium
Lineage: Bacteria
Description: partial 16S ribosomal RNA
Rfam family: Bacterial small subunit ribosomal RNA
Source: RNAcentral
CGCGUAGGCGGUGGGAUAAGUCAGAUGUGAAAGCCCUGGGCUCAACCUGGGAAUUGCAUUUGAUACUAUCUGACUAGAGUCUGGUAGAGGGGGGUGGAAUUCCAGGUGUAGCGGUGAAAUGCGUAGAGAUCUGGAGGAACACCAGUGGCGAAGGCGACCCCCUGGACCAAGACUGACGCUGAGGUGCGAAAGCGUGGGGAGCAAACA